GAUCCGUUAGCUCAGUUGGUAGGGCACAACACUUUUAAUGUUGGGGGCUUGGGUUCUUUCAGUCGCUUUCGCUUUAUGAAAGCGUUUCUGCGAAACGAUGACGAGCCCCAAACGGAUCA
This 119-nucleotide transfer RNA is filed under the name Prevotella sp. RNAcentral describes it as "tRNA-Lys". It matches the Rfam family "tRNA". From Rfam's summary of the family: Transfer RNA (tRNA) molecules are approximately 80 nucleotides in length. Their secondary structure includes four short double-helical elements and three loops (D, anti-codon, and T loops). Lineage: Bacteria; Pseudomonadati; Bacteroidota; Bacteroidia; Bacteroidales; Prevotellaceae. The record is from RNAcentral.